AAAUAAUUAAAAUAAAAAUUAGUUUCGACCUAAUUUCAGAAUAUAAAUAUUCAUUAUUUA
This 60-nucleotide transfer RNA is filed under the name Anisocentropus kawamurai. RNAcentral describes it as "tRNA-Arg". The record is from RNAcentral. Lineage: Eukaryota; Metazoa; Arthropoda; Insecta; Trichoptera; Calamoceratidae.